RNAcentral lists this ribosomal RNA (835 nucleotides) under uncultured Micrococcineae bacterium. RNAcentral describes it as "bacterial SSU rRNA". It matches the Rfam family "Bacterial small subunit ribosomal RNA", at positions 61 to 911 of the family's 1533-position model. Lineage: Bacteria; Bacillati; Actinomycetota; Actinomycetes; Micrococcales. The record is from RNAcentral.
GUCGAGCGAUGAAGCACCUUCGGGUGUGAAUUAGCGGCGAACGGGUGAGGAACACGUGAAGAAUCUGCCUUCAACUCUGGGAUAACUCCGGGAAACCGGGGCUAAUACCGGAUAUGAGCCUUGAUCGCAUGAUCGGGGCUGGAAAGUUUUUCGGUUGAAGAUGACUUCGCGGCCUAUCAGCUUGUUGGUGAGGUAAUGGCUCACCAAGGCGACGACGGGUAGCCGGCCUGAGAGGGCGACCGGCCACACUGGGACUGAGACACGGCCCAGACUCCUACGGGAGGCAGCAGUGGGGAAUAUUGGGCAAUGGAGGAAACUCUGACCCAGCGACGCCGCGUGCGGGAUGAAGGCCUUCGGGUUGUAAACCGCUUUCAGUAGGGAAGAAGCGAAAGUGACGGUACCUACAAAAGAAGCACCGGCUAACUAUGUGCCAGCAGCCGCGGUAAUACAUAGGGUGCAAGCGUUGUCCGGAAUUAUUGGGCGUAAAGAGCUCGUAGGUCGUUUAUUACGUCGGAUGUGAAAACCUGAGGCUCAACCUCAGGCCUGCAUUCGAUACGGGCAAACUAGAGUUUGGUAGGGGAGACUGGAAUUCCUGGUGUAGCGGUGGAAUGCGCAGAUAUCAGGAGGAACACCAAUGGCGAAGGCAGGUCUCUGGGCCAAUACUGACACUGAGGAGCGAAAGUCUGGGGAGCGAACAGGAUUAGAUACCCUGGUAGUCCAGACCGUAAACGGUGGGCACUAGUUGUGGGAACCUUCCACGGUUUCUGCGACGCAGCUAACGCAUUAAGUGCCCCGCCUGGGGAGUACGAUCGCAAGAUUAAAACUCAAAGGAAUU